RNAcentral lists this long non-coding RNA (324 nucleotides) under Elaeis guineensis (African oil palm). Its description in RNAcentral is "long non-coding RNA (EGUI_LNC006575)". Lineage: Eukaryota; Viridiplantae; Streptophyta; Magnoliopsida; Arecales; Arecaceae. The record is from RNAcentral.
GGCCCGGAAUGGGGAGUAUGGAUACAGAAAUUUCCAGUACAGUGUGGGUGUGGGUAUUGGCCUACGUGGCCCAUACCCGACGUGCUGCCAUGUUACUAAUUACGUUGAAAAGCUGUGAUUCGUCCGGCUAAUCUACCGUAUCAACAGUAGUUUUACCUAUUUUAAGUUCAGCUUGUAAUGGUUGAAUCCAAGGUUGAAGCUCCAUCAAGUGGCGUAUCCUGCGUCCCCAUUACCGGCAAUUUACGGAUGGAUGGAUGGCGCUGUAUACUUCCUUCCCGUGUCACGAUGUCGGUGCACGCUCGGAUGCUUCGUGCAAGUGCAACA